Molecule: long non-coding RNA, 994 nt
Organism: Lolium perenne
Lineage: Eukaryota; Viridiplantae; Streptophyta; Magnoliopsida; Poales; Poaceae
Source: RefSeq, a predicted model, not a curated record
GCAGGUGUUCAUAUGACAAGGAAUUUACCUCGGCGCCGCUGUCAGGAGCUCCUCGAUAUUGGCAUCCAACGGUUGCUGUUCCGGUGGUGAAGCUGCUGCCGGCGUCCACGUCACUGACCUGCUGCUUCUGCCUGGUUUAAAUCAUUUUGGAGAAGGAGCUGAAAGGUGAGAAGUGGGUGUACCGGGAUGCGCUAUCGGUGGGGAACCAGGAGGAGGAGGCGCGGGAGCGGACGUCAUAGGCAACAUCCACGAGUGCCGUGGGGAGGCGCUCUGGUUGCUGCGGAUUGACUACGAGGCCUCCGUCAAGAGCCUGGUAGGAUAACAAGGAGCACUAAACGAGAGCGAUGGGCAUCUUCUUCGACUCCAAGGUGGUUGGGUAUAGGUAAAAUGAGAAAGAAAGUAGAUGAAGAAGACAGAGGAAAGGACCAGAUAGCUAGUAGCUAGGUCAUUUUGCUGUGAUAAUGGUGAGUAGUAGUCGAGAUAAUAUUUGUAGGGAUGAUCAGCAGGUUUCGUAUGCCACGUUUGUGGUAUUUGUAGGAUGGGAUUGCUGGAGCUUUUUGUUGCUAUUGGGCAUCAGUAUUGCCUUAGCUGAAGCAUACGCGGAUUGCUUGGAUGGAAGUUGGAAGACCUGGGGGAAUAGGCAAUGGAUGUGAUGAUAUAUAUACGCCUUGGUUGUUUGAAGAAUCUGUAUGCAGCUUUUGCUUUGUUUCUAGCUGUCAUGAGCAGCGGAGGUUUAAGAAUCUUGUAACUCCUCAUGAAUGUGUUGCGUAUGUAACUGUUGUCCCAGAUUUGGUUGAUGUUUACAGUUUGGUAUCUCUGUUUGAUUAUACCUCUGGCGGAGAUUGAUUGCGUGCGUGGUUUUGAAGUCCUCAAAGUUGAUCAUGUAAUUAAUGAUUGUUGCAUUUCUGUUCCUUUGGCUGUAAAUAUUAGUAAGUCGUAGAUUUGUGAAAAUUGUGAUGUAGCGAGACAGGAUGAUGUGCAAGGAAAUUUCUCA